RNAcentral lists this unclassified non-coding RNA (496 nucleotides) under uncultured Paraglomus. RNAcentral's name for it is "SSU rRNA". It matches the Rfam family "Eukaryotic small subunit ribosomal RNA", at positions 591 to 1091 of the family's 1831-position model. The record is from RNAcentral. Lineage: Eukaryota; Fungi; Glomeromycota; Glomeromycetes; Paraglomerales; Paraglomeraceae.
CCAAUAGCGUAUAUUAAAGUUGUUGUGGUUAAAAAGCUCGUAGUUGAACCUUGGGCCUGGCUGGCCGGUCCGCCUCACCGCGUGUACUGGUCCGGCCGGGCCUUUCCCUCUGUGGAACCUCAUGCCCUUCACUGGGUGUGACGGGGAAGCAGGACUUUUACUGUGAAAAAAUUAGAGUGCUCCAAGCAGGCCUAUGCUCGAAUACAUUAGCAUGGAAUAAUAAAAUAGGACGUGCGGUUCUAUUUUGUUGGUUUCUAGGACCGCCGUAAUGAUUAAUAGGGACAGUCGGGGGCAUCAGUAUUCAAUUGUCAGAGGUGAAAUUCUUGGAUUUAUUGAAGACUAACUACUGCGAAAGCAUUUGCCAAGGAUGUUUUCAUUAAUCAGGAACGAAAGUUAGGGGAUCGAAGACGAUCAGAUACCGUCGUAGUCUUAACCAUAAACUAUGCCGACUAGGGAUCCGCGGCCGUUGUUCAUAUGACUUCGCGGGCAGCCUUCA